This 534-nucleotide ribosomal RNA is filed under the name uncultured eukaryote. RNAcentral's name for it is "bacterial SSU rRNA". It matches the Rfam family "Eukaryotic small subunit ribosomal RNA", at positions 1127 to 1671 of the family's 1831-position model. The record is from RNAcentral.
GGUCGCAAGGCCGAAACUUAAAGGAAUUGACGGAAGGGGCACCACCAGGAGUGGAAUCUGCGGCUUAAUUUGACUCAACGCGGGAAAACUCACCAGGUCAGGACACGGUAAGGAUUGACGGACUGAAGGCUCUUUCUCGAUUCCGUGGAAAGUGGUGCAUGGCCGUUUUUGGUUGGUGGAUCGAUCCGUCUGGUUAAUUCCGUUAACGAACGAGACCUCGGCACUCCGAAUAGCGCGGCGGACGUCGCGGCCUCCGGGCCGUCUUCCGCACGAGCUUCUUAGAGGGACCGUCCCCCGCCGGGGAAGGAGGUGCGAGGCAACGACAGGUCUGUGAUGCCCUUAGAUGUUCUGGGCCGCACGCGCAUUACACUGACGCGUCCAACGGGUGACUCCCGACCCGAAGGGGCCGGGGAAUCCGCAAGGCGCGUCGUGAUGGGGAUUGAACGUUGCAAUUGUUGUUCACGAACGAGGAAUUCCUAGUAGGCGCGGGUCAUCAACCCGCGCCGAUUACGUCCCUGCCCUUUGUACACACCG